RNAcentral lists this ribosomal RNA (253 nucleotides) under uncultured bacterium. Its description in RNAcentral is "partial 16S ribosomal RNA". It matches the Rfam family "Bacterial small subunit ribosomal RNA", at positions 524 to 776 of the family's 1533-position model. The record is from RNAcentral.
UACGAAGGGGGCUAGCGUUGCUCGGAAUCACUGGGCGUAAAGGGUGCGUAGGCGGGUCUUUAAGUCAGGGGUGAAAUCCCGGAGCUCAACUCCGGAACUGCCCUUGAAACUGCAAUGCUAGAAUCUUGGAGAGGCGAGUGGAAUUCCGAGUGUAGAGGUGAAAUUCGUAGAUAUUCGGAAGAACACCAGUGGCGAAGGCGACUCGCUGGACAAGUAUUGACGCUGAGGUGCGAAAGCGUGGGGAGCAAACAGG